AACUCCCUAUUUGGCCAAGAUCAUGAGACUACAUUUGUGAAACCUCUCUUGCGACCCCUCCAACGAGCUCUAUUGGUAAGUUCACUUCUUCUAAUAUGUGGAGUUCACAUCUCCUAAUUGGUAAAUUUCACAUCUCCCUGCUACUUCAGUUUAGAUAUUCCUGCUAGGUAAAUUGGUCUUUCCGAUUUGAAAUUUUUUGUUAACUGAAUUUUGAAGUUCACAAAUGGAUAAAUGUGACGCUCAGAUAGACAUGAAUGUGAAGUUCAUGAAUUUGUUGAUGUUUGUUUUACAAUCAUGCUUGAAGUUCACCUCUUUUUUCUCUGGGAUUUAGCCUUGUCCAUUUUAUCGGCAAGUUCGCAUUGUAAUUUCCUGGAAGUGCACAUUUGUCUACGUGAAAGGAAGUUUAUCUUUUUAGUAUACAUAUUUUGGUCGAAACAAUUCAAUUUGACUUGCAAGAGAAGUCUGAUUUAAUGUGAAAAAUAAAGUCCACUUGUCAAGCAAUAGAGGUUUGUUUACUGAAAAGCCGAAGUUCACUUCAUAAAAAAAAUGCUUGUAUGCUUAUUAGGAGAACUAUAUUUCUGGAGUAAUUUUCCACCGAAAUAUACCUGUCUAUGUUGACAGUUGACACUCCUAAUUUACAAAAAGUUGGCUUUAGAAUAGCAGAGAAGUUCACUCUUGUUAAAAUGCUGGUCCAUAUAAAUUACUUGACAUUUUUCUUUUGUAUAAGAACUAGGAUGAUGUAUUUUAUCAUUUAAUAUCUCAGCUUCUAAGACUAUUACUUAGAAGCUGCCUUUGUUUUCUGUAUCAUUUUCCAAAGAAUCAAUACUGCUUGUUUUACAUUUGUGCGAGUUCACUGGAUGAUUCGGAGUAGGAUGGUUGCUACUAGAUUCCUUGUGUUUUUUCCUUAUCAUUACCUUUUGUUUUUUUGAUGAUAGUUAGUCACUUUAUUUUCAAUUAUAUGCAGGCAUACUUGCAUGCAACUAUAGCGGAUGUUAACUCUAGAUUCAAUCUCCAUAUUUGGAACACAUGUCCAUGGCAUGUCCCUUUUGAGACAUUUGAUUAUCUAAUCUUACUGCAUAUAUGCAAGUAAACAAUUCGAAUAUUAUAGUUACACUUAUUUGUUUUAAUAUAGUGAAUGAUAAUAUUUAUCUUUAUGAUUGAUGCAACACAGCUACAAUAUUCAGAUAUGUUAAUGUUUUCUUUCAGUAGUUCGUCUAAUAUGUUCGCUUCUAUUUUGUGUGGAGUUAGAUUCAUAUAUCUUCAGAAGUUCAGUUUUCCUAUUUCACGUAUUGCCUUGGUUAUUUGACUAUCUAGUUCUUCAUAGUAAGUUGGAUUUUAUUGGCACUUUUUAAAAGCAUAAUGACUUACAGUCUAACAUUGUUGAAAAAGUUGUUCUAUGCUUAUUAAUUAUUGGCAGGUUUACCAUGACCAGGAUGCCAUCUCUAUCUAGUGAUUCUGAUACAGUUCACAUCUGACACUUGUGCAGUUCACAUCUGAACCUGUAUGAGGAUGGGUUCUGAACUGCAAGAGGAUGCAUGCUCGUGAUGGCGUCGCCGUCUCAGAGUAACAUAGGAUCACAUGUCACCAUGAACUCCGGCUCUCCCGCAUAGCCACAGCCGACACGGGACAAGCGCCGCCACAGGAGUUCACAUGCCCCGCUGCGGUAGUUCACGCCGCUCUCCGCAGUGAGCAUGUGAAGUUAUAUCUUUAGAUUCCAAUGUGAUAUUGUUCUACAGCCCUAACUGCAAGUAGAGCACCACAAGAGUUCAUUGUGCCUCCCUCGGCAGUCCGUUGUGCGUAGCCGGGAAGUCCACACGCGCAUACCCUGACAGUCCUGUGCGUGCCGCCGGGGCGUAAAACUACAAUACGCUGAUGUUUAGCCGCUGAUUCACAUGCAUGUCCUCUGAACCGUCGAUUCUUAGUUCUGCAAUUAAUACAUGUCUUAGCUUGUUUUGGGGCGAUGUAUUGCAAAUUGUAGGGAUAAAAAUAGGUUAAUGGCUUGCUGUGAUUUCUCCACUCUAGCUUAUAAAGGUGCACGACACCUACUCUGUGGAACACAGUUGGUUGUGAAGUUCAGAUAAAUAGAGUCGUGGAGUUCAGAAAGAGACCAGCAUGUGUGAAGUUUAGAGACAUGCCUCGGCAGAGUUAUUCUGAAUUGUAAUCUGUAGUCAUUGAAUAUCUGGUAGCAUCUCAAGUUCAGAAACUACAAUUGUUUACAUUUUUAUCUUGUAUAUGUUCACUUCGUCUCCAAGAUGAAAUUCACUCCGCCUGUAGUUUUUUUUUUGGUUGUACAAUUCUACCAAAGUGGAAGUUAAUAUAUUUAUGCGUUGUACACUUCUCUGAAAAAGUGGAAGUU
Molecule: non-coding RNA, 2356 nt
Organism: Lolium perenne
Lineage: Eukaryota; Viridiplantae; Streptophyta; Magnoliopsida; Poales; Poaceae
Source: RefSeq, a predicted model, not a curated record